GAUGAACGCUGGCGGCGUGCCUAAUACAUGCAAGUCGAGCGAAGCGGGGAGGGGUGAGUAACACGUGGAUAACCUCCUAUAAGACUGGGGUAAAUUCGGGAAACCGGUGCUAAACCGGCUACUUAUAGAUGGAUCCGUGCUGCAUUAGCUAGUUGGUAGGGUAACGGCUUACCAAGGCAACGAUGCAUAGCCGACCGGAGAGGGUGAUCAGCCACACUGGGACUGAGACACGGUCCAGACUCCUACGGGAGGCAGCAGUAGGGAAUCUUCCGCAAUGGGCGAAAGCCUGACGGAGCAACGCCGCGUGAGUGAAGAAGGUCUUCGGAUCGUAAAACUCUGUUAUUAGGGAAGCGGUACCUAAUCAGAAAGCCACGGCUAACUACGUGCCAGCAGCCGCGGUAAUUC
This 405-nucleotide ribosomal RNA is filed under the name uncultured bacterium. RNAcentral describes it as "partial 16S ribosomal RNA". It matches the Rfam family "Bacterial small subunit ribosomal RNA", at positions 28 to 526 of the family's 1533-position model. The record is from RNAcentral.